Molecule: ribosomal RNA, 497 nt
Filed under: uncultured bacterium
Lineage: Bacteria
Description: partial 16S ribosomal RNA
Rfam family: Bacterial small subunit ribosomal RNA
Source: RNAcentral
GAUGAACGCUGGCGGCGUGCCUAAUACAUGCAAGUCGAGCGAACGGACGAGAAGCUUGCUUCUCUGAUGUUAGCGGCGGACGGGGGAGUAACACGUGGAUAACCUACCUAUAACACUGGGAUAACUUCGGGAAACCGGAGCUAAUACCGGAUAAUAUUUUGAACCGCAUGGUUCAAAAGUGAAAGACGGUCUUGCUGUCACUGAUAGAUGGAUCCGCGCUGCAUUAGCUAGUUGGUAAGGUAACGGCUUACCAAGGCAACGAUGCAUAGCCGACCUGAGAGGGUGAUCGGCCGCACUGGAACUGAGACACGGUCCAGACUCCUACGAGAGGCAGCAGUAGGGAAUCUUCCGCAAUGGGCGAAAGCAUGACGGAGCAACGCCGCGUGAGUGAUGAAGGUCUUCGGAUCGUAAAACACUGUUAUUAGGGAAGAACAUAUGUGUAAGUAACUGUGCACAUCUUGACGGUACCUAAUCAGAAAGCCCCGGCUAACUACGUG